RNAcentral lists this ribosomal RNA (374 nucleotides) under uncultured organism. Its description in RNAcentral is "bacterial SSU rRNA". It matches the Rfam family "Bacterial small subunit ribosomal RNA", at positions 526 to 896 of the family's 1533-position model. The record is from RNAcentral.
CGUAGGGGGCGAGCGUUGUCCGGAAUUAUUGGGCGUAAAGAGCUCGUAGGCGGUUCGGCAAGUCACGUGUGAAAUCUCCACGCUCAACGUGGAGGCGCCACGUGAGACUGCCGUGACUCGAGUCCGGUAGGGGAGCGUGGAAUUCUCGGUGUAGCGGUGAAAUGCGUAGAUAUCGAGAGGAACACCUGCGGCGAAGGCGGGUUGCUGGGCUGACACUGACGCUGAAACGCGAAAGCUAGGGGAGCGAACGGGAUUAGAUACCCCGGUAGUCCUAGCCUUAAACGAUGAAUGCUUGGUGUCUGGGGUUUUAUAGUCCCCGGGUGCCGUCGCUAACGCUUUAAGCAUUCCGCCUGGGGAGUACGGUCGCAAGACUG